AUGGAGGAAUCCUUCACGGCCCCCUCCGUCGAUCCCCCCUCCGUCGACCUCCCCGACGUCGAUCCCGCCUCCGUCGACUCCCCCGCCGUCGAUCCCGCCUCCGUCGACUCCCCCGCCGUCGAUCCCGCCUCCUUCCACCCCCCUGCAGUCGAUCCCGCCAGCGCCAACCCAUCCCGCUACCCCUCCUGGGUCCUCCUCGACAGCAGAGCCUACUUCGCCCACCCCAUCAACGCCACCACCGUGAAGGCCACGACGAGCACGGGCCACAACUUCGAGGUCACCUUUUGUCUCGCCCGGCCGCCUGCCGUCUCCUACUUCUGCGUCCACUUUCCCGGAAUCAACGUACUAGAGUGUUGCAUCACGGAGCCCCGCGUCAUUUCCUCCGCCAAUGACCUCGCGCUCCUAUGCUUUCCCUUCAGAACUGGCACAUCGAGCACCUACGACUACUUCGUCUACAGGGCUGCCUCCAGCAAGCCCACCAUCAGAUCGGUCCCGUGUCCUCCUCCAACCUACAGGCACUCAUGGCAUGCAGCCAUCGUAUCCCGCGAGGAUGGCAGUUUUUUGGUCGCCGAUCUUUCCCUGGGUCGGGACCUUGGGCACUACAACCUGCAUAUCUUCUCGUCGGUGACAGACGAGUGGAGCACCCAACAUGUGCAGCUGAAGGAGCAUCCCGGUAUCCUGCCAAAGCUAACUCACAAGGUGAUCUCUCUUGGAGAAGGAACAGUGGGAUGGGUCGACCUCUGGCGCGGCAUUGUUGUCUGUGAUGUGCUUCAGAAGGAUCCUGUUCUCCGCUUCAUCCCGCUGCCCAGGCCGCUGCCCAAGGCUGAUUAUGACGAGCCCCCGGAAAGCCAAGCAUUGGCCGAUUAUGACGCGCGGUCAGUGCGGGACGUCACCGGCUUCCCCAAUGGUUUCAUCGACUUCAUCGAGAUCGAACAUUGUUUCAAAUGGUCUAAGUUUAUCAACAUGAGGAGUUUCAAGACGACGGCCUAUCUUGAUUUCCUAGAUACCAUCAGUGAUAAUGACCUCCUUAGGUAUCAUGAAGAGGACAUUAUGGAGGAUAAAAUUAAGUGUGCACCUGAUGGCUGGAAGAUCCGAACAGGCUUUAGGAGCAUUUCUUGGAACCAUUGGAGAAAAGGGUACAAUUUCCAUGUUGAUGACAUAUCAGCCGAACCACAACUUGCUCUGCAGCUACUUCACCUGUGGGAUAGUAGAACUGAGAAAUGCAGAGUGAGAAACCUGAAGACUACACCAGGCUUCCCGACCUUCACCAUUUAUGGUCGUGCUAUUGUCCUCAUGUCUAAGGUGGGUGUCGACCAAGUCACAUGGAUGCUUGGUGUAGAUCUUUUGAAGAAGUCGCUGGAAGUCAUCAAGCCAUACCAUGCCUCGAGAGUCGAUUAUUACAAUCCGACCUUCAUUUCCUGUGAAUUCUCCAAAUAUCUGAAUACCGCUCCAAUUCAAAGGCUAUAUGAUGAGCAAGUUGCAGCAGAGUCUGCUCAGAAUGAGGAAGUUGCAGCAGAGUCUGCACAGAAUGGUGUGCCUAAUGAUCAACUUCCAUUGGGGGAUACUGUUCCAAAACAAUGUGCAACCCCAGCAAUACAAGUGGAAUGGGGGGUGUUCCCAUUAGGACUUCUAAUGAAUAUGGUUUUGGCGAACACCAAGACGACUAUCAGCAGCUACCCAGUCUGA
RNAcentral lists this ribosomal RNA (1686 nucleotides) under Triticum aestivum (bread wheat). RNAcentral describes it as "partial small subunit ribosomal RNA". Lineage: Eukaryota; Viridiplantae; Streptophyta; Magnoliopsida; Poales; Poaceae. The record is from RNAcentral.